This 544-nucleotide long non-coding RNA is filed under the name Rattus norvegicus (Norway rat). Its description in RNAcentral is "long non-coding RNA NONRATT024391". The record is from RNAcentral. Lineage: Eukaryota; Metazoa; Chordata; Mammalia; Rodentia; Muridae.
AGCUUGCUUGGGUCCUGAACUAACCUCUCCAAGGCUCUCCACUCACACUGCUGCCCUGCUACACUGACUCCUCAGCCCCCGUAAGGUGCUCAGUGGAGCUGUGACGUCUUACGAAGAUCUUGGACUCUUCGCCUUUGGAUUACCUGGAAAGGUGGUGGUGGCAGGCACCAUAAUAAUUCAGAAUAUUGGAGCUAUGUCAUCUUACCUUUUAAUUAUUAAAACAGAGCUUCCUGCUGCUAUUUCAGAAGUUUUGCCUAGUGACCACAGUGGGGCUUGGUAUCUUGAUGGACAGAUGCUGCUAAUCAUAAUCUGUGUCGGCAUUGUGUUCCCUCUCUCACUGCUCCCCAAAAUAGGCUUUCUUGGCUACACAAGCAGUCUAUCAUUUUUCUUUAUGGUGUUCUUUGCUCUUGUGAGUUACCUUCUUACCCAGUCUGUCUUCAGCGCCAAGCAAGGGCUCCCUGUGACUCUCUUCUGUCUUGUGGUUGGGUCUCUGCCCACUCCUCACCUGUCUGCAGCUCUCUCUACCCCAUCCCACCAUGCAGGU